Molecule: ribosomal RNA, 426 nt
Filed under: uncultured bacterium
Lineage: Bacteria
Description: bacterial SSU rRNA
Rfam family: Bacterial small subunit ribosomal RNA
Source: RNAcentral
GUGAGGAAUUUUCCGCAAUGGGCGAAAGCCUGACGGAGCAAUGCCGCGUGAAGGAUGAAGGCCUAUGGGUUGUAAACUUCUUUUCUCAGAAAAGAAUUAUGACGGUAUCUGAGGAAUAAGCAUCGGCUAACUCUGUGACAGCAGCCGCGGUAAGACAGAGGAUGCAAGCGUUAUCCGGAAUGAUUGGGCGUAAAGCGUCUGUAGGUUGUUUAAAAAGUAUUCUGUCAAAGAUUAGGGCUUAACCCUAGAUAGGCAGAAUAAACUUUUAAGCUAGAGUUUGGUAGAGGCAGAGGGAAUUCCCGGUGGAGCGGUGAAAUGCGUAGAUAUCGGGAGGAACACCAAAGGCGAAGGCACUCUGCUGGGCCAAUACUAACACUGAGAGACGAAAGCGAGGGGAGCAAAUGGGAUUAGAAACCUGGGUAGUCC